RNAcentral lists this ribosomal RNA (254 nucleotides) under uncultured bacterium. Its description in RNAcentral is "partial 16S ribosomal RNA". It matches the Rfam family "Bacterial small subunit ribosomal RNA", at positions 524 to 776 of the family's 1533-position model. The record is from RNAcentral.
GACAGAGGGUGCAAACGUUGUUCGGAAUUACUGGGCGUAAAGCGAGUGUAGGCGGUUUGGUAAGUCGGAUGUGAAAGCCCCGGGCUCAACCCGGGAAGUGCACUCGAUACUGCCAAGCUAGAGUAUCGGAGAGGUUGGUGGAAUUCUCGGUGUAGAGGUGAAAUUCGUAGAUAUCUGGAGGAACACCGGUGGCGAAGGCGGCAUCCUGGACCAACACUGACGCUGAGUGAGCGAAAGCCAGGGGAGCAAACGGG